GCCUUUGAGGUUUAACUUUUGCUUAUAUGCUGAGCAUGUUGGUCUAAAGGUGAAGACCAUCAAGGGCUUGUCAGUUUGCACGGCACUGAUUCUUGAGUUGACCAGACUUGUAAAUGAACAAAAGCACCGUGGAAUAGUUGGUCUCGUGGAACUCGUUUCUAUAUAUAUGCAGCUUCAGUUGGUGUAUUCUUCAAGAGUUUCAGUGGGCCAAAUAUUUGCUAGGAAUCUCUCCUUGAACAGACUGCAAGCGUUUCAUCAUUUCCUUAUACCUGCAGAUUCUCUUCUGUAUGCAGCUUCAGUGAGUUGUGCGGCUUCAGUUCUUAUUGUAUUCAGCUAAAUCAUGUGCACAAUUAUAUAUAUGCAGCUUCAUUUGGUGUAUUCUUCAAGAGUUUCAGCGGGUCCAAAGAUUUGCUAGGAUUGACGCUUGUGUCGUCGGUGCCCAUACUGUGCUUCCUUCUCCUCUCAAGCAGUGUGGAGGGAACAGAGUUGGUAGCCGAUUGUGCCAUGAACAUUGGGAGGAAGGAGGUGCACGUUCUGGUUUUUUUAGUGAUGGCGCAUCCUUUCAGCGAAGUCAUCACCAGGGUAGGCCACAAGCAAGACACAUGUACGUCUCAGAUCCUUAUUGGUGAGUACCCCAUCUCAGUUUCUUAACACCAGUUUUUAUCUUACGAAAUCUUGAGAACUGUCGAGUAGAAAGUAGAAGUUAGAAACUUACAUCCAAGUAUGAUCGAUUUUACAUGUACUUCUCAGCUCCUUAUUGGUGUGUUCUUAAAUAUUUAAUGUGUUUGAGGAACAUGAGAAGUGUCGAGAGGAAUGCAUCAUCGCCUACAAGGCCAACUCCAAGUAGAGUAGGUUGACAUAUUCCAGUACAGUUUAUCUCAGGCUCUAGAAUACUACUUCAUUUAGCAUGGCACACAAUUAUAUAGCAUCGUUGAUUAGACUUGACAUCAACCAUCAUAAAGUUGCUUGCGCCCAAGUCUGACAUGAUAUUUACCUUUAGAUAUUAUGGAACUCGAAAAUUGGAAGUAAAGUUAGUUCUAAUAAUAUUGAGUUUCAGCGCAUGCUUUUAUCUAAUAAUAAUAAUACUGUUUUUAUGGAUGGGAGGGAGUAUUUGAUACUUUUUUUGCGAAACGGUAUUU
This is a non-coding RNA of Lolium perenne, 1139 nucleotides long. Lineage: Eukaryota; Viridiplantae; Streptophyta; Magnoliopsida; Poales; Poaceae. The record is from RefSeq and is a predicted model, not a curated record.